AGGACGAACGCUGGCGGCGUGCUUAACACAUGCAAGUCGAGCGGAAAGGCCCUUCGGGGUACUCGAGCGGCGAACGGGUGAGUAACACGUGAGCAACCUGCCCUUAGCUUCGGGAUAGCUCCGGGAAACCGGAAUUAAUACCGAAUAUGACUUUGGCUGACAUCAGCAGAAGUGGAAAGUUUUUCGGCUAGGGAUGGACUCGCGGCCUAUCAGCUAGUUGGUGAGGUAACGGCCCACCAAGGCGACGACGGGUAGCCGGCCUGAGAGGGCGACCGGCCACACUGGGACUGAGACACGGCCCAGACUCCUACGGGAGGCAGCAGUGGGGAAUAUUGCGCAAUGGGCGAAAGCCUGACGCAGCGACGCCGCGUGGGGGAUGAAUGCCUUCGGGUUGUAAACCCCUUUCAGCAGGGACGAAGCGAAAGUGACGGUACCUGCAGAAGAGCGCCGGCUAACUACGCGCCAGCAGCCGC
RNAcentral lists this ribosomal RNA (473 nucleotides) under uncultured bacterium. RNAcentral's name for it is "SSU rRNA". It matches the Rfam family "Bacterial small subunit ribosomal RNA", at positions 26 to 518 of the family's 1533-position model. The record is from RNAcentral.